CUUCUGUCCUUCCUCGUCCUUCGAGCCGUGUUCAUUCGCCCUUGACGAAGGAGGCGUUACAACCGAAGGAGGGGAGAUCGCCGUGGACUUCGUAGCUGGCUUCACAAAGCAAGGGCUGCCU
This 121-nucleotide non-coding RNA is filed under the name Tetraselmis astigmatica. Lineage: Eukaryota; Viridiplantae; Chlorophyta; Chlorodendrophyceae; Chlorodendrales; Chlorodendraceae. The record is from RNAcentral.